This 1857-nucleotide long non-coding RNA is filed under the name Bemisia tabaci. Its description in RNAcentral is "lncRNA ENSSSA1NGG002949". Lineage: Eukaryota; Metazoa; Arthropoda; Insecta; Hemiptera; Aleyrodidae. The record is from RNAcentral.
AUGCCCGAAGACUCCAUGAUAAUUUCUGAGGUCAGAGUGAAUGAAAGCGAAGAAAAUUUGACACACAACAAAGGACCUGACUUGACUCAUGCUGUAGAAAAAUUAGUGCAACAAGAAAGCAUCCAAGUAAAGUCUGUUCAAGCUCAAGAUAAAGAAGAAUUGUUCGAGACUUUUGCUCCUGAAAAUCGACAAGCAGACGUACAACUGUCGGCUGUAGACUCACUGGUAAUGACAGAAACUCAGCCUGAAGAGCGUGAAACUACCUUGUCAGAGGAGGAAAAACCAACAAUGAAAAAGGUUGAAACGAAUGUCUGUUGUUUGGAAACUUCUUUAACAUCACAAGUGAUAUUCCAUGAAGCAGAAAGCGAGUUCAGCCCUAAGCAAAAGCCAACUGAAGUUUUACCUAAUACAGUCUAUCAACCACAGGAAUCUUUGUCUGUGACUGAAGCUAUUCCAGGCGAUGCUUUCUCUGAAUUUGUGAAGCCACUGAAAUUUGUCCCAGAAGAGGCUUCCGUUGGUCAUGAAAUGGUCGAAGCUACCCGAGUUACUCAAGUUAUAGCGCAAGAAUGUGAAAACACAUUCACUGAGAAGACUCCGACAUUCUCUCAUGGAUUACAAGGGGUUGUACCUCAAACCAGUAUCACAGUCACAGAAUUGGAAACGGCAGAAAAAGAGAGUUGUUUACCCCAGCUUGAAUUGCCAGAAAGCCAUCGGAGCAAACCAGUUCCCACUCACCAUUUGCCAGUGGCAAAUGUUGAUGAAGUUUUGCCCAAUACUGCCGCAGGGGAUUUGGAGAAACAAAAACCUACUGCAGUUAUAGCCAAAAUUGAUCACAGUCCAUUUCAAGAAACUGUUGUGGAGGAAGCUGUCAUCGGGGAAGCUUACAGCAAAUUCAAAGAAGGAGUCAAGCGAAUUGGACACCAGGCAUCCAUCUCAUUUUCUGAGCAAGAUAGUGUGCAUAUAACAGAAACAAUUGCAGAAGACCAAGAAGUUCGUAUGUCCUCUCCAGAAAGGCUCUCAUCACAAGUUGCAGAAUGCUCCAUUUUACCGCAGAAUACAGCAAUUAAGACUGAAAUACUACCAGAGUUAAGUGUCUCUCCCCUAAAAGAUGUCAAAAGUAGAACUGAUGUAGCUAAGGUUACAUCUGAAACUGCUUUUGAAAGUAUUCAAGUCGUUGCAAUUGAUUAUGCAGAAAAAGAAAGUGAACUUAAGAAAGAUGUCAAACCUGAUGAGAAACAUGCUGUACUUGAGUUAACUGAUGCAGUUUCUGGUAUCCUGGUCACAGAAAUCACUAGUGCUGAGUCAGAAACUGAUUUUAAACGUGAUUCUCCAGACAAACGUAAGGCAGUGCCUGGCUACUCUCCUCAGUUAGUUGCUGAAAAAACUGAAAUUGUACCCCAGAGUAGCGUUAAAGAAAUAGUCCGUAUGUCCCCGGAGAAAGCUCAUGGAGUUCCUGAGCAGGAACAAUAUCAAGGUUUAGAGCAGUCAGAAAUUGCACCUAUCGAGCAGGAAGGAGAGUUUAAAACCAAGGUAAAGCCAGAAAAGAAGAAAGGUAAACCAUCUAUAGCAGAGAGUAGACUUAGUGCUGUUGUUGCUGUAGUGAAUCCCGACGAGAAGGAGUCAAUUUUGAUGCCUUUAGAAAAGCCAAAAAGUGAACUGGCGCACGCAGCUUUUACUGGAAAAAUUGUCGCUGAAGUCCUUGAAAAUAUGGAUCUCAGAACAGCAAAAAUCCUUGACACUAAGGAGUCUCCCAAAAGUUUGCCCAUCGUGAGCAAUCUCCUCAAGAAGGUUUACUCGUCUCAGAAACAACAAUCUCUGAAAAAGAACUUUCCUUUGAAAAGACGCAGGCAGAUAUGA